Molecule: unclassified non-coding RNA, 391 nt
Filed under: soil metagenome
Description: partial contains 5.8S ribosomal RNA, internal transcribed spacer 2, and large subunit ribosomal RNA
Rfam family: 5.8S ribosomal RNA (bases 1-122)
Source: RNAcentral
GAUGAAGAACGCAGUGAAAUGCGAUACUUGGUGUGAAUUGCAGAAUCCCGUGAACCAUCGAGUCUUUGAACGCAAGUUGCGCCCGAAGCCACUAGGCCGAGGGCACGCCUGCCUGGGCGUCACACGCCGUUCCCCCCCCAUCUACUCCUUCGGGAUUGCGGGGGGGCGGAUGAUGGCCUCCCGUGCGGCUAGCCGCGCGGUUGGCAUAAAUACCAAGUCCUCGGCGACGCACGCCACGACAAUCGGUGGUUGCGAAACCUCGGUUGCCCGUCGUGUGCGUUCGUCGCGCAUCGAGGGCUCGAAAAAAUGCUCGGCUCCGGCUGGGCUUUCAACGCGACCCCAGGUCAGGCGGGGUUACCCGCUGAAUUUAAGCAUAUCAAUAAGCGGAGGA